Molecule: ribosomal RNA, 460 nt
Filed under: uncultured bacterium
Lineage: Bacteria
Description: partial 16S ribosomal RNA
Rfam family: Bacterial small subunit ribosomal RNA
Source: RNAcentral
CCUACGGGAGGCAGCAGUGGGGAAUAUUUGUCAAUGGGCGCGAGCCUGAACCAGCCAAGUAGCGUGAAGGAUGACUGCCCUACGGGUUGUAAACUUCUUUUAUAAAGGAAUAAAGUGAGGCACGUGUGCCUUUUUGUAUGUACUUUAUGAAUACGGAUCGGCUAACUCCGUGCCAGCAGCCGCGGUAAUACGGAGGAUCCGAGCGUUGUCCGGAUUGAUUGGGUUUAAAGGGAGCGUAGAUGGGUGGUUAAGUCAGUUGUGAAAGUUUGGGGCUCAACCGUAAAAUUGCAAUUGAUACUGGCAGCCUUGAGUACAGGUGAGGUAGGCGGAAUUCGUGGUGUAGCGGUGAAAUGCUUAGAUAUCACGAAGAACACCGAUGGCGAAGGCAGCUUACUAAACUGCCACUGACGUUGAGGCACGAAAGUGUGGGUAGCAAACAGGAUUAGAUACCCGGGUAGUC